GAAGUCUCCAGCAUUAUUACCAAGAAAUUGAACCCAAGUCAGUUGGAGAAGUUUAAGGCAUCAUUAGUUUGUGGAUGUUUUAUUUUUGUAAAUAAUAAACCCAAGUCAUAAUAAACCAUGUAUUUGCUUAGUAUACAUUGAUGUAUUAUUUUUGUAAAUUCCUUCAAAUAUAUUCUACAAGGGUUAUGCUCUUCUAGAAAAUUCAUUGAAAAAGUUAUG
RNAcentral lists this long non-coding RNA (219 nucleotides) under Panax ginseng (ginseng). Its description in RNAcentral is "long non-coding RNA (PGIN_LNC017055)". Lineage: Eukaryota; Viridiplantae; Streptophyta; Magnoliopsida; Apiales; Araliaceae. The record is from RNAcentral.